RNAcentral lists this unclassified non-coding RNA (245 nucleotides) under Hevea brasiliensis (rubber tree). The record is from RNAcentral. Lineage: Eukaryota; Viridiplantae; Streptophyta; Magnoliopsida; Malpighiales; Euphorbiaceae.
CCAGUUCAUCCAGCAGCGGAUGACCGACAUAGGUGCACGGCGGGCCGCUCAACUUGCGAUGAACCUCGGGCUCGAAUGGCAGAACGGCCAGCAGCCGGUCGACAUACGCACGCAUUUUCCGCGCCCGUCCCGNNNCGCCAGACCCACACCGUGGGCGAGACGUAGUCGACAAUCGGGAUCGACGGAUCGCGCGCGCGGACACGCCGCGCCACCCGAUGCGUGAAAUCCGGGCUGUCGAUGAUGAC